CUUAGAGUUUGAUCCUGGCUCAGGAUGAACGCUAGCUACAGGCUUAACACAUGCAAGUCGAGGGGCAGCAUGGUCUUAGCUUGCUAAGGCUGAUGGCGACCGGCGCACGGGUGAGUAACACGUAUCCAACCUGCCGUCUACUCUUGGCCAGCCUUCUGAAAGGAAGAUUAAUCCAGGAUGGGAUCAUGAGUUCACAUGUCCGCAUGAUUAAAGGUAUUUUCCGGUAGACGAUGGGGAUGCGUUCCAUUAGAUAGUAGGCGGGGUAACGGCCCACCUAGUCAACGAUGGAUAGGGGUUCUGAGAGGAAGGUCCCCCACAUUGGAACUGAGACACGGUCCAAACUCCUACGGGAGGCAGCAGUGAGGAAUAUUGGUCAAUGGGCGAAGGCCUGAACCAGCCAAGUAGCGUGAAGGAUGACUGCCCUAUGGGUUGUAAACUUCUUUUAUAAAGGAAUAAAGUCGGGUAUGCAUACCCGUUUGCAUGUACUUUAUGAAUAAGGAUCGGCUAACUCCGUGCCAGCAGCCGCGGUAAUACGGAGGAUCCGAGCGUUAUCCGGAUUUAUUGGGUUUAAAGGGAGCGUAGAUGGAUGUUUAAGUCAGUUGUGAAAGUUUGCGGCUCAACCGUAAAAUUGCAGUUGAUACUGGAUGUCUUGAGUGCAGUUGAGGCAGGCGGAAUUCGUGGUGUAGCGGUGAAAUGCUUAGAUAUCACGAAGAACUCCGAUUGCGAAGGCAGCCUGCUAAGCUGCAACUGACAUUGAGGCUCGAAAGUGUGGGUAUCAAACAGGAUUAGAUACCCUGGUAGUCCACACGGUAAACGAUGAAUACUCGCUGUUUGCGAUAUACGGCAAGCGGCCAAGCGAAAGCGUUAAGUAUUCCACCUGGGGAGUACGCCGGCAACGGUGAAACUCAAAGGAAUUGA
This 918-nucleotide ribosomal RNA is filed under the name uncultured bacterium. RNAcentral's name for it is "bacterial SSU rRNA". It matches the Rfam family "Bacterial small subunit ribosomal RNA", at positions 1 to 913 of the family's 1533-position model. The record is from RNAcentral.